RNAcentral lists this ribosomal RNA (119 nucleotides) under Pteropus alecto (black flying fox). Lineage: Eukaryota; Metazoa; Chordata; Mammalia; Chiroptera; Pteropodidae. The record is from RNAcentral.
GUCUAUAGCCAUGCCACUCUGAAUAAGCCUGAUCCCGUCUGAUUUCGGAAGCUAAGCAGAGUCAGGCCUGGUUAGCACUUGGUUGGGAGACCACUUAGGAAGACCAGGUGCUGUAGGUG